UACGGGGGGGGCUAGCGUUAUUCGGAUUGAAUGGGCGUAAAGGAUGCGUAGGUGGAUUAUGCGAAGUAUGUUAAAAUUUUAUUAGUGAUAAUGAAAGGGUCGCGUACUAACCGCAGAGAAAGAGUUUAGUAGGGGUUGGGAGUAUUUUCAAAGGAGUAGUCCAAUGCGUCGAUAUUGAAAGGAAUACCGGCUGGCGUAGGCACCCUUCCAGGCUAGACUGACAUUGAGGCAUGAAGGCGUGGGGAGCAAACGGG
This 254-nucleotide ribosomal RNA is filed under the name uncultured bacterium. RNAcentral's name for it is "partial 16S ribosomal RNA". It matches the Rfam family "Bacterial small subunit ribosomal RNA", at positions 524 to 776 of the family's 1533-position model. The record is from RNAcentral.